RNAcentral lists this ribosomal RNA (254 nucleotides) under uncultured bacterium. Its description in RNAcentral is "partial 16S ribosomal RNA". It matches the Rfam family "Bacterial small subunit ribosomal RNA", at positions 524 to 776 of the family's 1533-position model. The record is from RNAcentral.
GACGGUAGGGCGCAAGCGUUGUCCGGAUUUAUUGGGCGUAAAGAGCUCGUAGGCGGCUCGUUGCGUCGGCUGUGAAAACCCGCAGCUCAACUGCGGGUCUGCAGUCGAUACGGGCAGGCUAGAGUUCGGUAGGGGAGACUGGAAUUCCUGGUGUAGCGGUGAAAUGCGCAGAUAUCAGGAGGAACACCGAUGGCGAAGGCAGGUCUCUGGGCCGAUACUGACGCUGAGGAGCGAAAGCGUGGGGAGCGAACAGG